UGCAAGUCGAACGGUAACAGGUCUUCGGAUGCUGACGAGUGGCGAACGGGUGAGUAAUACAUCGGAACGUGCCCGAGAGUGGGGGAUAACGAAGCGAAAGCUUUGCUAAUACCGCAUACGAUCUCAGGAUGAAAGCAGGGGACCGCAAGGCCUUGCGCUCACGGAGCGGCCGAUGGCAGAUUAGGUAGUUGGUGGGAUAAAAGCUUACCAAGCCGACGAUCUGUAGCUGGUCUGAGAGGACGACCAGCCACACUGGGACUGAGACACGGCCCAGACUCCUACGGGAGGCAGCAGUGGGGAAUUUUGGACAAUGGGCGCAAGCCUGAUCCAGCCAUGCCGCGUGCAGGAUGAAGGCCUUCGGGUUGUAAACUGCUUUUGUACGGAACGAAAAGACUCUGGUUAAUACCUGGGGUCCAUGACGGUACCGUAAGAAUAAGCACCGGCUAACUACGUGCCAGCAGCCGCGGUAAUACGUAGGGUGCGAGCGUUAAUCGGAAUUACUGGGCGUAAAGCGUGCGCAGGCGGUUAUGUAAGACAGAUGUGAAAUCCCCGGGCUCAACCUGGGAACUGCAUUUGUGACUGCAUAGCUAGAGUACGGCAGAGGGGGAUGGAAUUCCGCGUGUAGCAGUGAAAUGCGUAGAUAUGCGGAGGAACACCGAUGGCGAAGGCAAUCCCCUGGGCCUGUACUGACGCUCAUGCACGAAAGCGUGGGGAGCAAACAGG
RNAcentral lists this ribosomal RNA (723 nucleotides) under uncultured beta proteobacterium. RNAcentral's name for it is "bacterial SSU rRNA". It matches the Rfam family "Bacterial small subunit ribosomal RNA", at positions 56 to 776 of the family's 1533-position model. Lineage: Bacteria; Pseudomonadati; Pseudomonadota; Betaproteobacteria. The record is from RNAcentral.